GACGAACCGAGCGAACGUUAUUCGGAAUCACUGGGCUUAAAGGGCGCGUAGGCGGGCCGUCAAGUCAGGGGUGAAAGCCCCCAGCUCAACUGGGGAAGUGCCUUUGAUACUGGCGGUCUCGAGGGGGAUAGGGGCGUGCGGAACUUCCGGUGGAGCGGUGAAAUGCGUAGAUAUCGGAAGGAACACCGGUGGCGAAAGCGGCGCGCUGGAUCCCUUCUGACGCUGAGGCGCGAAAGCCAGGGGAGCGAAUGGG
RNAcentral lists this ribosomal RNA (253 nucleotides) under uncultured bacterium. RNAcentral describes it as "partial 16S ribosomal RNA". It matches the Rfam family "Bacterial small subunit ribosomal RNA", at positions 524 to 776 of the family's 1533-position model. The record is from RNAcentral.